RNAcentral lists this long non-coding RNA (299 nucleotides) under Monodelphis domestica (gray short-tailed opossum). RNAcentral's name for it is "lncRNA (ENSMODG00000028911.2)". Lineage: Eukaryota; Metazoa; Chordata; Mammalia; Didelphimorphia; Didelphidae. The record is from RNAcentral.
AGGUGCUGAAAGAAAAAAAAAAGAACCCCCCCCCAAGGAGGAGGUUUGCUUUUGUUCUGUUGGAAGAAGAAAGAAAGAAAGAAAGAAAGAAAGAAAGAAAGAAAGAAAGAAAGAAAGAAAGAAAGAAAGAAAGAAAGAAAGAAAGAAAGAAAGAAAGAAAGAAAGAAAGAAAGAAAGAAAGAAAGAAAGAAAGAAAGAAAGAAAGAAAGAAAGAAAGAAAGAAAGAAAGAAAGAAAGAAAGAAAGAAAGAAAGAAAGAAAGAAAGAAAGAAAGAAAGAAAGAAAGAUGCAGAGAGGGAA